GUACACUCCUGCGGGAGGCAGCAGUGGGGAAUUUUGGACAAUGGGCGAAAGCCUGAUCCAGCAAUGCCGCGUGAGUGAAGAAGGCCUUCGGGUUGUAAAGCUCUUUUGUCAGGGAAGAAACGGUGAGAGCUAAUAUCUUUUGCUAAUGACGGUACCUGAAGAAUAAGCACCGGCUAACUACGUGCCAGCAGCCGCGGUAAUACGUAGGGUGCAAGCGUUAAUCGGAAUUACUGGGCGUAAAGCGUGCGCAGGCGGUUUUGUAAGUCUGAUGUGAAAUCCCCGGGCUCAACCUGGGAAUUGCAUUGGAGACUGCAAGGCUAGAAUCUGGCAGAGGGGGGUAGAAUUCCACGUGUAGCAGUGAAAUGCGUAGAUAUGUGGAGGAACACCGAUGGCGAAGGCAGCCCCCUGGGUCAAGAUUGACGCUCAUGCACGAAAGCGUGGGGAGCAAACAGGAUUAGAUACCCGAGUAGUCCCA
RNAcentral lists this ribosomal RNA (475 nucleotides) under uncultured organism. RNAcentral's name for it is "partial 16S ribosomal RNA". It matches the Rfam family "Bacterial small subunit ribosomal RNA", at positions 331 to 797 of the family's 1533-position model. The record is from RNAcentral.